RNAcentral lists this ribosomal RNA (482 nucleotides) under uncultured bacterium. Its description in RNAcentral is "partial 16S ribosomal RNA". It matches the Rfam family "Bacterial small subunit ribosomal RNA", at positions 30 to 507 of the family's 1533-position model. The record is from RNAcentral.
AUUGAACGCUGGCGGCGUGCCUUACACAUGCAAGUCGAACGGUAACGGGCCUUCGGGUGCCGACGAGUGGCGAACGGGUGAGUAAUACAUCGGAACGUGCCCGAUCGUGGGGGAUAACGAGGCGAAAGCUUUGCUAAUAUCGCAUACGAUCUACGGAUGAGAGCAGGGGACCGCAAGGCCUUGCGCGGACUGAGCGGCCGAUGGCAGAUUAGGUAGUUGGUGGGAUAAAAGCUUACCAAGCCGACGAUCUGUAGCUGGUCUGAGAGGAUGAUCAGCCACACUGGAACUGAGACACGGCCCAGACUCCUACGGGAGGCAGCAGUGGGGAAUUUUGGACAAAGGGCGCAAGCCUGAUCCAGCCAUGCCGCGUGCAGGAUGAAGGCCUUCGGGUUGUAAACUGCUUUUGUACGGAACGAAGAGCAUUCUUUUAAUACAGGAGGGUCAUGACGGUACCGUAAGAAUAAGCACCGGCUAACUACGUG